UGCAUAUCAAAUAAGCGGAGGAAAAGAAACCAACAGGGAUUGCCUCAGUAGCGGCGAGUGAAGCGGCAAGAGCUCAGAUUUGAAAUCGUGCUUUGCGGCACGAGUUGUAGAUUGCAGGUUGGAGUCUGUGUGGAAGGCGGUGUCCAAGUCCCUUGGAACAGGGCGCCCAGGAGGGUGAGAGCCCCGUGGGAUGCCGGCGGAAGCAGUGAGGCCCUUCUGACGAGUCGAGUUGUUUGGGAAUGCAGCUCCAAGCGGGUGGUAAAUUCCAUCUAAGGCUAAAUACUGGCGAGAGACCGAUAGCGAACAAGUACUGUGAAGGAAAGAUGAAAAGCACUUUGAAAAGAGAGUGAAACAGCACGUGAAAUUGUUGAAAGGGAAGGGUAUUGCGCCCGACAUGGGGAUUGCGCACCGCUGCCUCUCGUGGGCGGCGCUCUGGGCUUUCCCUGGGCCAGCAUCGGUUCUUGCUGCAGGAGAAGGGGUUCUGGAACGUGGCUCUUCGGAGUGUUAUAGCCAGGGCCAGAUGCUGCGUGCGGGGACCGAGGACUGCGGCCGUGUAGUCACGGAU
RNAcentral lists this ribosomal RNA (565 nucleotides) under Pichia kudriavzevii. Its description in RNAcentral is "eukaryotic LSU rRNA". It matches the Rfam family "Eukaryotic large subunit ribosomal RNA", at positions 37 to 612 of the family's 3401-position model. Lineage: Eukaryota; Fungi; Ascomycota; Pichiomycetes; Pichiales; Pichiaceae. The record is from RNAcentral.